Molecule: ribosomal RNA, 253 nt
Filed under: uncultured bacterium
Lineage: Bacteria
Description: partial 16S ribosomal RNA
Rfam family: Bacterial small subunit ribosomal RNA
Source: RNAcentral
UACGUAGGCAGCGAGCGUUGUUCGGAGUUACUGGGCGUAAAGGGUGUGUAGGCGGCUUUUUAAGUUUGGUGUGAAAUCUCCCGGCUUAACCGGGAGGGUGCGCCGAAUACUGAGAGGCUAGAGUGCGGGAGAGGAGAGUGGAAUUCCUGGUGUAGCGGUGAAAUGCGCAGAUAUCGGGAAGAACACCCGUGGCGAAGGCGGCUCUCUGGGACGGUACUGACGCUGAGACGCGAAAGCGUGGGGAGCGAACAGG